AGCUUUAUUCUCUGUACAAUUCUUAAGACUUCUUGCCAAGUUAAGUAAACAGAAAUGGUCUUUUUGAUUACUUUUGUGACUUGUUUGACUAUCUAAGGCCGGUCCUUUAGAUAGUGGGUUUUGGAUGUGUCAAAUAGAUGGCGUGAAAGAAUAUUGUGUUGAUAUGUGCUUAUGGCGGCUCGUUGUCAACAGUUCAGCUACAGCUAUUUUCUUCACAAAUUACCAAUGAAUUCUUUGGAGAAAAUGUGAAAGGGGCAUGCAGCCUACUGUCAACUAUUGUGUUGUAAAUCCUGGGAUCCCACUGAAUGUGUCAUCCAAAUGACAGAGGAUUCAUCAUAAUUAUCGACUGAUUCUUUUAGACUUGCUAGAUCACCAACCCCAGCAUGGCCAUCUUCUAGAGAACCUUGGAUAACUGAUUGGUAUUUUUUUAUUUUAGUGUGUUUCUAAUUUUGCAUGACAGACUUUAUGAGAAGUCUUUGAAGAAAAAGGACAAUAUUACAGUCAACAAGCUCCUUUGUUUGGUAACCCGUUGGCUGCUACCCUUGAAUAUCCCUUUUUACUUCCUUAAACAGGCCCUCUUGAUUUGAGGGUAACUCCUUCACUACUUAUCAUGGACUUCAUCCAUUGGUGAAAACUUAUAAGAAAAAGCUGAAAUUCAAGACUGAUGGUUGUCAGAUGUCUAAGCCGGAAGUCUACUAGGGUUAAUCGGCCAAUCGCUCUCGUAAUAACUGUUCCUCUCCCUGUCUUUAUUGACUGUAUGUGCGAGUUUCAAAAGCAGUUUAUCACCCAAAUGAGACAAAAGGAGUUUGUUUUAUUU
Long non-coding RNA from Daphnia pulex (common water flea), 817 nucleotides. RefSeq lists it as uncharacterized. Lineage: Eukaryota; Metazoa; Arthropoda; Branchiopoda; Diplostraca; Daphniidae. The transcript has 5 exons. The record is from RefSeq and is a predicted model, not a curated record.